GUGAGGCAGUGAAGCUUGCUGCCCUGAGGUAGCAGGAGGAAACAAUCACAAGAAAAAAAAAAAAAACAAAAACCAAGCCUAUUCCUCUUAGCCUGAGGGAUUGUGGAGAAAAGGAGGUGAGAGGAAGGAGGCUUGGUAAAGGAGUAGGAGAAUCUUCACUGCUUCAUCCACAUUCUGAUCUGGUCCUUCUACAAGCAACGUUACACACUGCUGUAUAGGUCAAAGCCGUGCAGCAUCAGACUAUGAACAGAAGUGAUGUGUUACUUCAGGUGGAAACAUUUGAGGGCUGAUGCACAAUCUUCUUUCUUCGUUCCUUGGUGAUUCUGAAAGUUGAAAUGGUGUAAGUAUAAAAUGGAAGCAGCAGAUUUUCUGAGUCACCCCAUUGAGGAAAGGCACAGUGAGGGCUACUCCAACUUACAGCGCUUUUUUGAUGAGCAAGAAAGAAACUUUUGUUUUAUUGAACCACUGAGGUUUCGAGGUUUGUUUAUCAUAGUAUA
This is a non-coding RNA of Oryctolagus cuniculus (rabbit), 497 nucleotides long. The record is from RefSeq and is a predicted model, not a curated record. Lineage: Eukaryota; Metazoa; Chordata; Mammalia; Lagomorpha; Leporidae.